CUACGGGCUGCUGCAGUAAGGAAUAUUGCGCAAUGGAGGCAACUCUGACGCAGCCAUGCCGCGUGCAGGAAGAAGGCCUUAUGGGUCGUAAACUGCUUUUAUUAGGGAAUAAACCCUCGCUCGUGAGCGAGGCUGAAGGUACCUAAAGAAUAAGCACCGGCUAACUCCGUGCCAGCAGCCGCGGUAAUACGGAGGGUGCAAGCGUUAUCGGAUUUAUUGGGUUUAAAGGGUGCGCAGGCGGACUAUUAAGUCAGUGGUGAAAUCCCGGGGCUCAACCUCGGAACUGCCAUUGAUACUGAUAGUCUUGAGUUUGGUUGAAGUAGGCGGAAUGUAGCAUGUAGCGGUGACAUGCAUAGAUAUGCUACAGAACACCAAUCGCGAAGGCAGCUUACUAAGCCAAAACUGACGCUCAUGCACGAAAGCGUGGGGAGCAAACAGGAUUAGAUACCCGGGUAGUC
RNAcentral lists this ribosomal RNA (458 nucleotides) under uncultured bacterium. RNAcentral describes it as "partial 16S ribosomal RNA". It matches the Rfam family "Bacterial small subunit ribosomal RNA", at positions 339 to 795 of the family's 1533-position model. The record is from RNAcentral.